Molecule: unclassified non-coding RNA, 344 nt
Filed under: soil metagenome
Description: partial contains 5.8S ribosomal RNA, internal transcribed spacer 2, and large subunit ribosomal RNA
Rfam family: 5.8S ribosomal RNA (bases 1-120)
Source: RNAcentral
GAUGAAGAACGUAGCAAAAUGCGAUAAGUAAUGUGAAUUGCAGAAUUCAGUGAAUCAUCGAAUCUUUGAACGCACAUUGCGCCCGCUGGUAUUCCGGCGGGCAUGCCUGUUCGAGCGUCAUUUCAACCCUCAAGCCCCCGGGCUUGGUGUUGGGGAUCGGCGUGCCCUCGCGGCGCGCCGUCCCCUAAAUCUAGUGGCGGUCUCGCUGUAGCUUCCUCUGCGUAGUAGCAACACUCGCACUGGAUCGCAGCGCGGCCACGCCGUUAAACCCCCCACUUCUGAAAGUUUGACCUCGGAUCAGGUAGGAAUACCCGCUGAACUUAAGCAUAUCAAUAAGCGGAGGA